GCUCAGGGCGAACGCUAGCGGCGCGCCUAACACAUGCAAGUCGUGCGGGAAAGGGCUCCGGCCCAAGUACCGCGGCAGACGGGUGAGUAACACGUGAGUAACCUGUCCUCAGGUCUGGGAUAACCAUCCGAAAGGGUGGCUAAUACCGGAUAAAGUCACUGGGCGCAAGUUCAGUGAUGAAAGGAGGCCUCUGCAUAGCAAGCUUCUGCCUGAGGAGGGGCUCGCGGCCCAUCAGCUUGUUGGUGGGGUAAUGGCCCACCAAGGCUAUGACGGGUAGCCGGCCUGAGAGGGUGGUCGGCCACACGGGCACUGAGACACGGGCCCGACUCCUACGGGAGGCAGCAGUGGGGAAUCUUGGGCAAUGGGCGAAAGCCUGACCCAGCGACGCCGCGUGGGGGACGAAGGCCUUCGGGUCGUAAACCCCUGUUCUGGGGGAAGAACCAGGUCGUAGCGAAUAGCUAUGGCCUGCUGACGGUACCCCAGGAGAAAGCCACGGCUAACUGCGUGCCAGCAGCCGCGGUAAUACGCAGGUGGCAAGCGUUGCCCGGAAUCACUGGGCGUAAAGGGUGCGUAGGCGGCAAGGCAAGUCGCAGGUCAAAGCCCGGGGCUCAACCCCGGAAGGGCCUGCGAUACUGUUUUGCUUGAGGGCCGGAGAGGCUGGCGGAAUUCCCGGUGUAGGGGUGAAAUCCGUAGAUAUCGGGAGGAACACCGGUGGGGAAGCCUGCCAGCUGGACGGUUCCUGACGCUGAGGCACGAAAGCGUGGGGAGCAAACCGGAUUAGAUACCCGGGUAGUCCACGCCGUAAACGAUGGGUGCUAGGUCUGGGGAGGAAACUCUCUGGGCCGCAGCUAACGCGUUAAGCACCCCGCCUGGGGAGUACGGCCGCAAGGCUG
RNAcentral lists this ribosomal RNA (893 nucleotides) under uncultured bacterium. RNAcentral's name for it is "bacterial SSU rRNA". It matches the Rfam family "Bacterial small subunit ribosomal RNA", at positions 22 to 896 of the family's 1533-position model. The record is from RNAcentral.